GAGCUCACUUCAGCAGCACAUAUACUAAAAUUGGAAUGAUACAGAGAUUAGCAUGGCCCCUGUGCAAGGAUAACACGCAAAUUCAUGAAGCUUCCAUAUUUAAA
Lutra lutra (Eurasian river otter) is the source of this 104-nucleotide small nuclear RNA. The record is from RefSeq and is a predicted model, not a curated record. Lineage: Eukaryota; Metazoa; Chordata; Mammalia; Carnivora; Mustelidae.